This 293-nucleotide signal recognition particle RNA is filed under the name Saimiri boliviensis boliviensis (Bolivian squirrel monkey). Its description in RNAcentral is "Metazoan signal recognition particle RNA (ENSSBOG00000009512.1)". It matches the Rfam family "Metazoan signal recognition particle RNA". From Rfam's summary of the family: The signal recognition particle (SRP) is a universally conserved ribonucleoprotein. It is involved in the co-translational targeting of proteins to membranes. Lineage: Eukaryota; Metazoa; Chordata; Mammalia; Primates; Cebidae. The record is from RNAcentral.
GCUGGGCGCAAUGGUGCAUGCCUGUAGUCCCAGCUACUCGGGAGGCUGAGGUGGGAGGAUCGCUUGAGCCCCGGAGUUCUGGGCUAUAGUGAGCUAUGCUGAUUGGGAGUCCAGACUAAGUUCAGCAUCAAUAUGGUGACCUCCCGGGAGCAGGGGACCACCAGGUUGCCUAACGAGGGGUGAACUGGCCCAGGUUGGAAACAGAGCAGGUCAAAACUCCUGUGCUGAUCUGUAGUGGGAUUGCACCCAGCCACGGCACUCCAGCCUGGGCAACAUAGCGAGACUCGAUCUCU